This 253-nucleotide ribosomal RNA is filed under the name uncultured bacterium. Its description in RNAcentral is "partial 16S ribosomal RNA". It matches the Rfam family "Bacterial small subunit ribosomal RNA", at positions 524 to 776 of the family's 1533-position model. The record is from RNAcentral.
UACAGAGGUCCCAAGCGUUGUUCGGAUUCAUUGGGCGUAAAGGGUGCGUAGGUGGCGCGCUAAGUCAGGUGUGAAAUUUCGGAGCUUAACUCCGAAACUGCAUUUGAUACUGGCGUGCUUGAGGACUGGAGAGGAGACUGGAAUUUACGGUGUAGCAGUGAAAUGCGUAGAGAUCGUAAGGAAGACCAGUGGCGAAGGCGGGUCUCUGGACAGUUCCUGACACUGAGGCACGAAGGCCAGGGGAGCGAACGGG